RNAcentral lists this ribosomal RNA (253 nucleotides) under uncultured bacterium. Its description in RNAcentral is "partial 16S ribosomal RNA". It matches the Rfam family "Bacterial small subunit ribosomal RNA", at positions 524 to 776 of the family's 1533-position model. The record is from RNAcentral.
UACGUAGGUGGCAAGCGUUGUCCGGAUUUAUUGGGUUUAAAGAGCUCGUAGGCGGCUUGUCACGUCGGGUGUGAAAGCCCGGGGCUUAACCCCGGGUCUGCAUUCGAUACGGGCUAGCUAGAGUGUGGUAGGGGAGAUCGGAAUUCCUGGUGUAGCGGUGAAAUGCGCAGAUAUCAGGAGGAACACCGGUGGCGAAGGCGGAUCUCUGGGCCAUUACUGACGCUGAGGAGCGAAAGCGUGGGGAGCGAACAGG